RNAcentral lists this ribosomal RNA (906 nucleotides) under uncultured archaeon. Its description in RNAcentral is "bacterial SSU rRNA". It matches the Rfam family "Archaeal small subunit ribosomal RNA", at positions 21 to 903 of the family's 1478-position model. The record is from RNAcentral.
CCCCACUGCUAUCGGGGUGGGACUAAAACAUGCAAGUCGAGCGCCUCCAAGCUAUGGUGAAGGCGCGGCAAACGGCUCAGUAACACGUGGCCAACCUACCCUUGGGACGGAGACAACCCCGGGAAACUGGGGCUAAUCCCCGAUAAGUAAGGAAUCCUGGAAUGGAUCUUUGCUGAAAGGGCGUCUAGACCAUGCUUCUUGACGUCGCCCAAGGAUGGAGCCGCGGCCGAUCAGGUAGUUGGCGAGGCAACGGCUCACCAAGCCUAUAACCGGUACGGGCCGUGAGAGCGGUAGCCCGGAGAUGGGUACUGAGACAAGGACCCAGGCCCUACGGGGCGCAGCAGUUGCGAAAACUCCGCAAUGCGCGAAAGCGUGACGGGGCUACCCCGAGUGCCGCCCGUUGAGGGCGGCUUUUCCAUGGUGUAAGGAGCCGUGGGAAUAAGGAGAGGGCAAGACUGGUGUCAGCCGCCGCGGUAAUACCAGCUCUCCGAGUGGUGGGGACGAUUAUUGGGCUUAAAGCGUUCGUAGCCGGCUUAACAAGUCUUCCGUUAAAUCCAACGACCUAAUCGUUGGGCUGCGGGAGAUACUGUUGGGCUAGGAGGCGGGAGAAGCCGACGGUAUUCUCGGGGUAGGGGUGAAAUCCUGUAAUCCCGGGAGGACCACCAGUGGCGAAGGCGGUCGGCUAGAACGCGCUCGACGGUGAGGGACGAAAGCUGGGGGAGCGAACCGGAUUAGAAACCCGGGUAGUCCCAGCUGUAAACGAUGCGGGCUAGGUGUUGGGGUGGCCAUGAGCCACUUCAGUGCCGCAUGGAAGCAAUUAAGCCCGCCGCCUGGGGAGUACGGCCGCAAGGCUGAAACUUAAAGGAAUUGGCGGGGGAGCACCACAAGGCGUGAAGCUUGCGGUUU